Molecule: non-coding RNA, 82 nt
Organism: Nerophis lumbriciformis (worm pipefish)
Lineage: Eukaryota; Metazoa; Chordata; Actinopteri; Syngnathiformes; Syngnathidae
Source: the annotation of a RefSeq genome assembly
GAUGAGGUGGCCGAGCGGUUAAGGCGAUAGACUGCUAAUCCAUUGUGUUCUAAACGCGUGGGUUCGAAUCCCACCCUCAUCG